RNAcentral lists this small nuclear RNA (157 nucleotides) under Fukomys damarensis (Damara mole-rat). Its description in RNAcentral is "U2 spliceosomal RNA". It matches the Rfam family "U2 spliceosomal RNA". From Rfam's summary of the family: U2 is a small nuclear RNA (snRNA) component of the spliceosome (involved in pre-mRNA splicing). The record is from Rfam by way of RNAcentral. Lineage: Eukaryota; Metazoa; Chordata; Mammalia; Rodentia; Bathyergidae.
AUUGCUUCUCAGUCUUCUGACUAAGAUCAAGUGUAGCAUCUAAUCAGUGAAAUAUCUGAUAUGUACCCUAACUGAUAACAGUAAAUUAAAUGAACUUUUGGAGGAGGGUACAGAAUAGACCUGGUGUUACAGUGCCUCCAGGAAUGGUAAACUGUUC